GACGAACGCUGGCGGCGUGCUUAACACAUGCAAGUCGAGCGGUAAGGCCCUUUCGGGGGUACGACGAGCGGCGAACGGGUGAGUAACACGUGGGUGACCUGCCCUCAGCCCUGGGAUAAGCCUGGGAAACCGGGUCUAAUACUGGAUAUGACUCCAUGACGCAUGUUGUGGGGUGGAAAGCCUUGUGCGGCUGAGGAUGGGCCCGCGGCCUAUCAGCUUGUUGGUGGGGUGANGGCCUACCAAGGCGACGACGGGUAGCCGGCCUGAGAGGGCGACCGGCCACACUGGGACUGAGACACGGCCCAGACUCCUACGGGAGGCAGCAGUGGGGAAUCUUGCGCAAUGGGCGAAAGCCUGACGCAGCGACGCCGCGUGAGGGAUGACGGCCU
This 389-nucleotide ribosomal RNA is filed under the name uncultured bacterium. RNAcentral describes it as "bacterial SSU rRNA". It matches the Rfam family "Bacterial small subunit ribosomal RNA", at positions 28 to 417 of the family's 1533-position model. The record is from RNAcentral.